This 961-nucleotide long non-coding RNA is filed under the name Equus caballus (horse). RNAcentral describes it as "lncRNA (ENSECAG00000042870.2)". Lineage: Eukaryota; Metazoa; Chordata; Mammalia; Perissodactyla; Equidae. The record is from RNAcentral.
GUGAAAGCAAGGCCUUCCCUGGGGGCGGAGAUUGUACGAGACUUUGGGAAGUUUCGCUUCCUCUGCAUGGAGCUGGAGAUAGGGAUGUGGAACUUGGGAGAGAGAGAGAGGCAGGAUGGAAGUGUGCAUGCUUGAGUAGAAAGCAAGUGGCACCAAGAGGAGCUAAACAUGCCGGAGAGGAAGAGCAUAGGUGUGAGCCCACAGACUGAGAAAAAUGAACAUCUUUUAGCUGAAAAAAGAUACCUCAGAAAGAUACGUAGAUCUGACUGGAAAUAGUGUAUCUGCCUUGUGAUGCUCAUUUUUCAUUCCUACCCGUCAAUUAUGCAAGGGCUGAUAUUGAAAUUCAGUUGCUCUGGAGCUAGGAAGAAAGACAGAAAAGAAAAAGAAAGAAAAAAGACAAUGACAACACAUACACCAAAAAUUAACAUUCUGGAAUCAUGGGCACGCAAGGGAUGCAUUGUCAGAAAAAUUGGACUAUGGUACCCAGUCAUCCUGUCAAACACUAAUCCAGAUGUGAAGGACUUUGGUGGGUAUGGUUAGCAUCAAUCACCAGUCAACUUUAAGUAAAGCAGAUUACCCUCCACAAUGUGGGUGAGUCUCAUCCAAUCAGUUGAAGACUGUAAGUGCAAAAAUUGAGGUUUCCUGGAGAAGAAGGAAUUCUGCCUCAAGACUGUAACCAAGAAAUCCGGCCUGAGUUUCCAGCCUCCUGCUCUAUGGAUUUUUGGCUCAAGACUGCAACAUCAACUCUUAUUGAACUUCCAGCCUGCUCACCCGCCCUACAGAUUUCAGAUUUUCCAGUCCCCACAAUCAUGUGAAUCAAUUUCUUAAAAUAAAUAUAUCCAUAUAUUUAUAUCUAUGUUUAUCUAAUCUCCUAUUGGUUCUGGUCCUCUGGAGAAUCCUACUCAUAAUACCUCUGUUGUCAUUCUUCUUCUCUAGUGCAAAGAGGUAAAGUUUGGAAGAC